AACGAACGCUGGCGGCAUGCCUAACACAUGCAAGUCGAACGAUGCCUUCGGGCAUAGUGGCGCACGGGUGCGUAACGCGUGGGAAUCUGCCCUUGGCUUCGGAAUAACAGUUAGAAAUGACUGCUAAUACCGGAUGAUGUCCCCCUGAGAGAUCUUGGGGACCAAAGAUUUAUCGGCCAGGAUGAGCCCGCGUAGGAUUAGGUAGUUGGUGGGGUAAAGGCCUACCAAGCCGACGAUCCUUAGCUGGUCUGAGAGGAUGAUCAGCCACACUGGGACUGAGACACGGCCCAGACUCCUACGGGAGGCAGCAGUGGGGAAUAUUGGACAAUGGGGGGAACCCUGAUCCAGCAAUGCCGCGUGAGUGAUGAAGGCCUUAGGGUUGUAAAGCUCUUUUACCAGGGAUGAUAAUGACAGUACCUGGAGAAUAAGCUCCGGCUAACUCCGUG
Molecule: ribosomal RNA, 446 nt
Filed under: uncultured bacterium
Lineage: Bacteria
Description: partial 16S ribosomal RNA
Rfam family: Bacterial small subunit ribosomal RNA
Source: RNAcentral